AGUGAACGCUGGCGGUAGGCCUAACACAUGCAAGUCGAACGGCAGCACAGUAAGAGCUUGCUCUUACGGGUGGCGAGUGGCGGACGGGUGAGGAAUAUAUCGGAAUCUACUUUUUCGUGGGGGAUAACGUAGGGAAACUUACGCUAAUACCGCAUACGACCUACGGGUGAAAGCAGGGGAUCUUCGGACCUUGCGCGAUUGAAUGAGCCGAUGUCGGAUUAGCUAGUUGGCGGGGUAAAGGCCCACCAAGGCGACGCUACGUAGCUGGUCUGAGAGGAUGAACAGCCACACUGGAACUGAGACACGGUCCAGACUCCUACGGGAGGCAGCAGUGGGGAAUAUUGGACAAUGGGCGCAAGCCUGAUCCAGCCAUACCGCGUGGGUGAAGAAGGCCUUCGGGUUGUAAAGCCCUUUUGUUGGGAAAGAAAAGCAGCAGGUUAAUACCCCGCUGUUCUGACGGUACCCAAAGAAUAAGCACCGGCUAACUUCGUG
RNAcentral lists this ribosomal RNA (492 nucleotides) under uncultured bacterium. RNAcentral describes it as "partial 16S ribosomal RNA". It matches the Rfam family "Bacterial small subunit ribosomal RNA", at positions 29 to 507 of the family's 1533-position model. The record is from RNAcentral.